UAAAAAAAUCUGGGAUGAACCGGGGCUGCUAACUUUGGUUUGAGUGGUUCAAUUCCAUUCUUAUUUAU
Molecule: transfer RNA, 68 nt
Filed under: Nacella magellanica
Lineage: Eukaryota; Metazoa; Mollusca; Gastropoda; Nacellidae
Description: tRNA-Ser
Source: RNAcentral